AUGGGGUGACUGCGUACCUUUUGUAUAAUGGGUCAGCGACUUAUAUUCUGUAGCAAGGUUAACCGUAUAGGGGAGCCGUAGGGAAACCGAGUCUUAACUGGGCGAAUGAGUUGCAGGGUAUAGACCCGAAACCCGGUGAUCUAUCCAUGGGCAGGUUGAAGGUUGGGUAACACUAACUGGAGGACCGAACCGACUAAUGUUGAAAAAUUAGCGGAUGACUUGUGGAUGGGGGUGAAAGGCCAAUCAAACCGGGAGAUAGCUGGUUCUCCCCGAAAGCUAUUUAGGUAGCGCCUCGUGAAUUCAUCUUCGGGGGUAGAGCACUGUUUCGACUAGGGGGUCAUCCCGACUUACCAACUCGAUGCAAACUGCGAAUACCGAAGAAUGUUAUCACGGGAGACACACGGCGGGUGCUAACGUCCGUCGUGAAGAGGGAAACAACCCAGACCGCCAGCUAAGGUCCCAAAGUCAUGGUUAAGUGGGAAACGAAGUGGGAAGGCUCAGACAGCCAGGAUGUUGGCUUAGAAGCAGCCAUCAUUUAAAGAAAGCGUAAUAGCUCACUGGUCGAGUCGGCCCGCGCGGAAGAUGUAACGGGGCUAAACCAUGCACCGAAGCUGCGGCAGCGACACAAUGUGUUGUUGGGUAGGGGAGCGUUCUGUAAGCCUGCGAAGGUGUACUGUGAGGUAUGCUGGAGGUAUCAGAAGUGCGAAUGCUGACAUAAGUAACGAUAAUGCGGGUGAAAAACCCGCACGCCGGAAGACCAAGGGUUCCUGUCCAACGUUAAUCGGGGCAGGGUGAGUCGACCCCUAAGGCGAGGCUGAAAAGCGUAGUCGAUGGGAAACGGGUUAAUAUUCCCGUACUGGUGGUAACUGCGAUGGGGGAACGGAGAAGGCUAGGUUGUCCGGGCGACGGUCGUCCCGGUUCAAGCAGGUAGGCAGAGUGAUUAGGCAAAUCCGGUCACUUAAUGCUGAGAUGUGAUGACGAACCACCAAGGUGGUGAAGCAAUUGAUGCCCCGCUUCCAGGAAAAGCCUCUAAGCUUCAGGUUACCAACAAUCGUACCCCAAACCGACACAGGUGGUCAGGUAGAGAAUACUCAGGCGCUUGAGAGAACUCGGGUGAAGGAACUAGGCAAAAUGGUGCCGUAACUUCGGGAGAAGGCACGCUGGCGGUAGGUAAAGUCCCUUGCGGACGGCGCUGAAGCCAGUCGAAGAUACCAGCUGGCUGCAACUGUUUAUUAAAAACACAGCACUGUGCAAACACGAAAGUGGACGUAUACGGUGUGACGCCUGCCCGGUGCUGGAAGGUUAAUUGAUGGGGUCAGCCGCAAGGCGAAGCUCCUGAUCGAAGCCCCAGUAAACGGCGGCCGUAACUAUAACGGUCCUAAGGUAGCGAAAUUCCUUGUCGGGUAAGUUCCGACCUGCACGAAUGGCGUAAUGAUGGCCAGGCUGUCUCCACCCGAGACUCAGUGAAAUUGAACUCGCUGUGAAGAUGCAGUGUACCCGCGGCAAGACGGAAAGACCCCGUGAACCUUUACUAUAGCUUGACACUGAACAUUGAGCCUUGAUGUGUAGGAUAGGUGGGAGGCUUUGAAGUGUGGACGCCAGUCUGCAUGGAGCCAACCUUGAAAUACCACCCUUUAACGUUUGAUGUUCUAACCUAGGCCCAUAAACUGGGUCGGGGACCGUGUCUGGUGGGUAGUUUGACUGGGGCGGUCUCCUCCUAAAGAGUAACGGAGGAGCACGAAGGUUGGCUAAGCAUGGUCGGACAUCAUGCGGUUAGUGCAAAGGCAUAAGCCAGCUUGACUGCGAGAGUGACGGCUCGAGCAGGUACGAAAGUAGGUCUUAGUGAUCCGGUGGUUCUGAAUGGAAGGGCCAUCGCUCAACGGAUAAAAGGUACUCCGGGGAUAACAGGCUGAUACCGCCCAAGAGUUCAUAUCGACGGCGGUGUUUGGCACCUCGAUGUCGGCUCAUCACAUCCUGGGGCUGAAGUAGGUCCCAAGGGUAUGGCUGUUCGCCAUUUAAAGUGGUACGCGAGCUGGGUUUAGAACGUCGUGAGACAGUUCGGUCCCUAUCUGCCGUGGGCGUUGGAAGAUUGAGAGGGGUUGCUCCUAGUACGAGAGGACCGGAGUGAACGCACCACUGGUGUUCGGGUUGUCAUGCCAAUGGCAUUGCCCGGUAGCUAAGUGCGGAAGAGAUAACCGCUGAAAGCAUCUAAGCGGGAAACUUGCCUCGAGAUGAGUCUUCCCUGUCGCUUUAAGCGACCUAAAGGAACGUUUAAGACUAAGACGUUGAUAGGCUGGGUGUGUAAGCGUAGCGAUACGUUGAGCUAACCAGUACUAAUGAACCGUGAGGCUUAACCUG
RNAcentral lists this ribosomal RNA (2358 nucleotides) under Proteus mirabilis. RNAcentral describes it as "partial 23S ribosomal RNA". It matches the Rfam family "Bacterial large subunit ribosomal RNA", at positions 588 to 2925 of the family's 2925-position model. The record is from RNAcentral. Lineage: Bacteria; Pseudomonadati; Pseudomonadota; Gammaproteobacteria; Enterobacterales; Morganellaceae.